RNAcentral lists this small nuclear RNA (107 nucleotides) under Cavia aperea (Brazilian guinea pig). The record is from RNAcentral. Lineage: Eukaryota; Metazoa; Chordata; Mammalia; Rodentia; Caviidae.
GUGCUUGCUUCAGCAGCACAUAUACUAAAACUGAAACAAUACAGAGAAGAUCAACAUGGCCCCUGUGCAAGGAUGACACGCAAAUUUGUGAAGCGUUCCAUAUUUUU